Molecule: long non-coding RNA, 4206 nt
Organism: Parambassis ranga (Indian glassy fish)
Lineage: Eukaryota; Metazoa; Chordata; Actinopteri; Ambassidae
Product: microtubule associated serine/threonine kinase 3
Source: Ensembl
AUGUUUGUUUUUCACAAAAUGUUCCACCCAGGGAAUAAAUAUCUUGUUAUAUGGCUAAAGCAUUGCAUUUGGCAAAAUACAGAGAGCUGCUCUUCUCAUCAAGUGAUGAGAAAGAGAACCCUAUUAUGCUUAUGUAACAUGCAUGUCCGUUUUUCGUUCAGAGCUGAGGGCCGGCGAUGGUCUCUGGCCUCCCUGCCCUCGUCUGGCUAUGGAACCAAUCCACCGAGCUCCACUGUCUCGUCCUCUUCAUCAUCCCAGGAGCGUCUUCAUCAGCUUCCCUACCAGCCAACACAAGAUGAACUGCACUUCCUCUUCAAACACUUCCGCAGCACAGACAGCAUGACAGAUGAGGAUGGACGCCCCUCGCCUGUCAUACGACCUCGGUCCCGCAGCCUCAGCCCUGGGCGUUCAAGUGUCUCCUUCGAUAAUGAGAUAGUCAUGAUGAACCACGUUUACAGAGAGCGUUUUCCAAAGGCCACAGCCCAGAUGGAGGAACGCUUGUUAGAGAUAGUCACCCACUAUUCUCCAGACAGCUCCCUCCCGCUGCCUGACGGGGUACUGGGCUUCAUCCAGCACCAGUUGGUGGAGCUGGUCAGAGACUGUCUGGAUAAGUCUCAGAAAGGUCUGGUUACUUCCCGCUACUUUGCUGAGCUGCAGGAAAAGCUGGAAAAGCUGUUUCAUGAGGCCUACGAGCGCUCUGAAAGCGAGGAGGUAACUGUCAUCACCCAGCUGGUUAGGAAGAUCCUCAUCAUAAUCUCUCGGCCGGCUCGCCUCCUUGAAUGUCUGGAGUUUGACCCGGAAGAGUUUUAUCACCUACUUGAAGCAGCAGAGGGUCAUGCCAAAGUCGGCCAGGGAAUUAAGACGGACAUCCCGCGCUACAUCAUCAGCCAGCUCGGCCUGACGCGGGACCUGAAACUUUUUACUAUUAGGUUUAAAGAUGGUAGGUCUAAUGUAGGUUGCGUGAUGUUCAACAGGGCCGUGUAUCUGGUCCGUCACAAGGAGACUCGUCAGCGAUUUGCCAUGAAAAAGAUAAAUCGUCAGAACCUGGUGCUAAGGAAUCAGAUUCAGCAGGCAUUCGUGGAGCGGGACAUCCUAACCUUUGCUGAGAACCCUUUUGUUGUCUCCAUGUUCUGCUCUUUUGAGACACGGCGUCAUCUUUGCAUGGUCAUGGAGUAUGUAGAAGGUAAACAAAACAUCAUAAAUGUUGAAAUUGCCUUGUCUAUGAUUAGGUUCAUUCUAUCAAUCAAAAGUAUAAUCUUUUUUUGUCUUUUGCCACUUGACAGUUUGCUGAUAACCUCCAUGGGUCACAUCAAGCUGACAGAUUUUGGCCUGUCUAAAAUUGGACUGAUGAACAUGACCACCAACCUGUACGAAGGUCACAUUGAGAAAGACACAAGAGAAUUUGUUGACAAACAGGUAUGUGGCACUCCAGAGUACAUUGCUCCAGAGGUGAUCCUUAGGCAGGGCUAUGGGAAGCCAGUGGACUGGUGGGCAAUGGGGGUCAUUCUUUAUGAGUUUCUGGUUGGCUGUGUUCCAUUUUUUGGAGACACCCCUGAAGAGCUUUUUGGACAAGUUGUUAGUGAUGAAAUAAUUUGGCCAGAAGGAGACGAUGCCCUACCUACUGAUGCACAGGACCUGAUUACUCGUCUGCUGAGGCAGAACCCUUUAGACCGAAUUGGAACAGGUGGAGCCUCAGAGGUGAAGCAGCAUCCUUUCUUCCUGGGUUUAGACUGGAAUGGACUUCUCCGACAGAAAGCAGAGUUCAUCCCUCAGCUGGAGGCGGAGGAUGACACCAGCUAUUUUGACACUCGGUCAGAACGCUACCAUCAUUUGGCAUCUGAUGAGGACGAAGAAACCAAUGAUGAAGAGUCUUCCCUAGAAAUUAGACAGUUUGCUUCCUGGUCACAUCGCUUCAGUAAGGUUUACAGCAGCACAGAACAUCUGGCAACACCUUCCAACUUGAGCUUCUCAUCAGACCGCAGUCACAGUGAGGACAAGGAGGACCGAAUGUUGAGCCCAGAAAUUCUGGACGCAUGGCCAGGUAGCCGUUUGUUGGCAUAUGGAAAAUGGAGCUCUUGUGUUAAAAAAAAUAAACUAAUUUACCCCUCUGUUCGUAGCCUUCGGCCUAGGGCCUCCUCCAGCUCCUCCCAGUCAGAGAGAAGCACCAGUCCUCUAGUGAUGACCAGCACUCACAGUCUGGAGACAAUGCCACGUUUUGCCCUCUCCACUGAUGAUGAAGGUAAAUUCAGACCUGUGGUGGUGUCAAACCUUCGGAGAAUCAGAAUUCGGAGCAACAGCACUGGGGCUAAACACUCAUCCCCUAAGGACCCAGCAGGCCCUCGGCGCUUCGGUAACCAGCUGGAAACACCAGACAGGCAGAGGCUUCCCUGUGGAGGAAAGGUUCCAAAGUCAGCCUCUGUCUCUGCAUUGUCUCUCAUCAUUACUACAGAUGACUCUCCCAGUGGCCUCCAGCCCAGUCCCAUUUCGCCACGUUCACUUUCUUCCAACCCCUCAUCUCGUGACUCGUCCCCUAACCGAGAUCUGUUCUUCAGCCCCGGCAGCCUCAGGCCACCAAUCGUCAUCCACACCUCAGGGAAGAAGUACGGCUUCACCCUGCAGGCCAUCCGGGUCUACAUGGGUGACAGUGAUGUGUACACUGUGCAUCAUAUGGUGUCGAGUGUGGAGGAGGGCAGCCCAGCUCACCAGGCAGGUCUCUGCACUGGAGACCUCAUCACCCACGUGAACGGAGAGUCUGUCCAAGGCCUGGUCCACCCAGAGAUGAUAGAACUGCUACUGAAGAGUGGCAGCAAGGUGGCUCUGCAGACCAUAGCACUGGAGAACACGUCAAUCAAAGUUGGCCCAGCUCGAAAAACCAAACACAAAGGCAAGAUGGCACGUCGCAGCAAGAAGAGCAAGAGGAGAGAUAAUUACGACAGGCGACGGAGUAUCUUAAAGAAGUUAUCCAAGCAGAGUACAGUGAUGCACAGCAGUCGCAGCUUCUCCUCAGGCCUCCAUCACUCAGUUUCCUCCAGUGAGAGUCUUCCAGGCUCCCCGACACACAGCCUCUCCCCUGGUCCUUCCACACCCUGUCGGAGCCCUGCACCUGACCAUCAGGGCUACAACACUCCUUGCUCUCCUCAGAGCACAUCUCCUUGCUCCAGCUCUCCUAGCUCCCCUGCUGCACACAUCCGGCCCAGCUCGCUCCAUGGCCUGGGAUCCAAACUCAGCACGCAACGCUACACCAAGGUUGGCCGUCGGAAGUCGACCAGUAACAUCCCUCCAUCCCCGUUGGCCUGCAACUCCUCCUCAUCUUCUAACCAGCCUCUUUCCCCAGCCUGGCAGCCAGGCAGUGGGGAGCGCUCACCGUCCCCACUUCCAGGCUUUGCCAAAACUCUUCACACCUUCCAUGGCAAAACCCUGUCACCACCCACCAUUGUUAGACAUGUUGUUCGGCCCCGCAGUGCUGAACCACCCCGGUCUCCACUGCUCAAGAGGGUGCAGUCAGCUGAGAAGCUGUCUGGAGUUUAUCAUGUUGACAAGAAGUCAUACGCUCCCCGCAGACACACACUGGAAGUGCCCUUUUACUGUGAAGGUGACCUGCUGGGUGACUCCGAGGUAGAGGGGGCUUUUGGGUGCUCCUACAUUGGGGCUGACCACACCAGACUGGGGUGCUACAUAAGCAGUCAAAGGAUAGAACGGUCAGAGCAGCUAGUUGUGAUGCGGAAGCUCAACCUAUCAGAGCGGCGAGACUCCUUUAAGAAGCAAGAGGCAGUGCAGGAGGUGAGCUUUGAUGAGCCAGAGGAGAAAAAUGGCACCACAGUGACCACCGCAGCCCCAGGAGCCCAAACACAGUGUCAGCAGCAGCACAGGAUAGCCUGGAUGGCCACUCGACCCCAGAGCAGCCAGGAGGUGGAGCUGGAAGUCCCGGUGGUGAGGAGGUUUACAUUGGUGCCCCAAAUCGCCGUGCAGGGCUCAACAGAAAGUGAGGAGCAGGAUGAGUGGGAGCCAUGCUCAGAUGGAGAGGAAUCCACUGAUAGGCCUGAGCUGGAGGUGAGCAUCACUUCAAUUCAGCAGCAGCAAACAGGACAUCCUCUUGCUGACAGCAGCUGCAGUGAGGCAGAAACCACUUCCUCUGGUCCUGCACCAGCAUCAGAGAAACCUGAGUGCAGAGAGGAAAUGCCCCAAAAAGGGCCUUUGAGAAAAUGA